GACGAACGCUGGCGGCGUGCUUAACACAUGCAAGUCGAACGGAAAGGCCCUGCUUUUGUGGGGUGCUCGAGUGGCGAACGGGUGAGUAACACGUGAGUAACCUGCCCUUGACUUUGGUAUAACUUCACGAAACUGGGGCUAAUCCCGUAUAGGAUCUCCUGCUGCAUUGUGGGGGUUGGAAAGUUUCGGCGGUUGGGGAUGGACGCGCGGCUUAUCAGCUUGUUGGUGGGGUAGUGGCUUACCAAGGCUUUGACGGGUAGCCGGCCUGAGAGGGUGACCGGCCACAUUGGGACUGAGAUACGGCCCAGACUCCUACGGGAGGCAGCAGUGGGGAAUAUUGCACAAUGGGCGGAAGCCUGAUGCAGCAACGCCGCGUGCGGGAUGACGGCCUUUGGGUUGUAAACCGCUUUCGCCUGUGACGAAGCGUGAGUGACGGUAAUGGGUAAAGAAGCACCGGCUAACUACGUG
This 468-nucleotide ribosomal RNA is filed under the name uncultured bacterium. RNAcentral's name for it is "partial 16S ribosomal RNA". It matches the Rfam family "Bacterial small subunit ribosomal RNA", at positions 28 to 507 of the family's 1533-position model. The record is from RNAcentral.